Long non-coding RNA from Panicum virgatum (switchgrass), 1122 nucleotides. RefSeq lists it as uncharacterized. NCBI's taxonomy places the organism in Eukaryota, Viridiplantae, Streptophyta, Magnoliopsida, Poales, Poaceae. The record is from RefSeq and is a predicted model, not a curated record. The transcript has 2 exons.
GUUUUCUUUUAUCCCUUUUCAAUUUUGCUUACACAUCUUUACAAUUGUGCUAUGCAUAUUUAUAAAAAACUACCUGCGGGGGGUGAGACCGCCCCCACGGCAUUGUUUGAGAGAUAGAAUGAUCUUCUCACAGCAGGCCAAGACAACCCCCGAACCCCUGCCCCACCCGUGCUAUGCAUAUUUAUUAAGUUCAAAGUUUGGUAGAGAGAUUGACAUAAGUCGAUGAGUUUAGGGCAACUGCAAAACACUUACUAGGUAAUUCCAGCCACACUAUUUCAAGCCCUCUGAUGCUGGCUAGAGAUGGCUAGCCCUGCCAGGUAAUUUGAUUUCCUUUUUUUUUCUUUGGUCCAUUGCUAUAUGGAUUUAUUUUACAGCAGUCUCAUGUUACAUGAAAACGCUUCUCUUAGUCAUGUUCUUCUAGCUACGAAAUCUAAUAUACCACAUUAGUUCCUCACCAUUAUAGGGCAUGAGUUAUCAUAGCAAUAUAAUACCACUUUACUGAUAGUCUGAACUUUAAGACAUUAAGUGGAUCAAUAUUGUUUCCUGAAUAUUUCAGGAAUGGUUGAUUGCCUAACUUCAUUGGUUCUAUGAUUUCAAUUAAUUCUUAGAAAUACCAAGGUAGUGUUGUUAAGAUUAAUAGAUUUCUGUGAUUACUGAACUUAUAUUCAGCUUUCCCUUUUUGCCUAGCUCAAGCUUUCAAAGCUGCAGGUAGAGAGCUCAAUGUUUAGGGAUCAUUAUUAAUGCAUAUUUAUUCAAUUGCUGUCAAAAUCCCCACAACAAUCAGAUUGAUGUGUACCAUGGUCUUCUUUACCACUUCAGAAGCACCUACAGAUCUCAAGCUUCUUUAGCUAAUGUGUAGUUUGAUGCCCAAACUACAGCCUUAAUCUUUUAUAUUCCGUGGCGAAGGAAGUGUUCGAAGGAAAGCAAAAGUAGGAGUAUAUAACUAAUCACAUGGUAUCAUCAGCACAUUAACUUUUUUUUCAGCAUACAAGAGGAUGUAGCCAUUAUCAGUGUUGACAAUGAACUCUUGCGGUGAGCCAAAGAAUGCCUGUACCAUAGAUUUUUGUCAGUCAUCUCAACAUUCUCAUCAUCAAAGAAUAACCAAUGAGUGUGGCUCUUAAC